UACACACCGCCCGUCACACCAUGGGAGUAGGUUGCUCCAGAAGUAGUUAGCCUAACCGCGAGGGGGGCGAUUACCACGGAGUGAUCCAUGACUGGGGUG
Molecule: ribosomal RNA, 99 nt
Filed under: uncultured bacterium
Lineage: Bacteria
Description: partial 16S ribosomal RNA
Rfam family: Bacterial small subunit ribosomal RNA
Source: RNAcentral